Molecule: ribosomal RNA, 506 nt
Filed under: uncultured bacterium
Lineage: Bacteria
Description: partial 16S ribosomal RNA
Rfam family: Bacterial small subunit ribosomal RNA
Source: RNAcentral
AUUGAACGCUGGCGGCAGGCCUAACACAUGCAAGUCGGACGGUAGCACAGAGGAGCUUGCUCCUUGGGUGACGAGUGGCGGACGGGUGAGUAAUGUCUGGGGAUCUGCCCGAUAGAGGGGGAUAACCCCUGGAAACGGUGGCAAAUACCGCAUAACGUCGCAAGACCAAAGAGGGGGACCUUCGGGCCUCCCACUAUCGGAUGAACCCGGAUGGGAUUAGCUGGUAGGCGGGGUAAUGGCCCACCUAGGCGACGAUCCCUAGCUGGUCUGAGAGGAUGACCAGCCACACUGGAACUGAGACACGGUCCAGACUCCUACGGGAGGCAGCAGUGGGGAAUAUUGCACAAUGGGCGCAAGCCUGAUGCAGCCAUGCCGCGUGUAUGAAGAAGGCCUUCGGGUUGUAAAGUACUUUCAGCGGGGAGGAAGGCGGUGAGGUUAAUAACCUCACCGAUUGACGUUACCCGCAGAAGAAGCACCGGCUAACUCCGUGCCAGCAGCCGCGGUAA